RNAcentral lists this ribosomal RNA (253 nucleotides) under uncultured bacterium. Its description in RNAcentral is "partial 16S ribosomal RNA". It matches the Rfam family "Bacterial small subunit ribosomal RNA", at positions 524 to 776 of the family's 1533-position model. The record is from RNAcentral.
UACGAAGGGUGCAAGCGUUAAUCGGAAUUACUGGGCGUAAAGCGUGCGUAGGCGGUUUGUUAAGUCUGCUGUGAAAUCCCCGGGCUCAACCUGGGAAUGGCAGUGGAUACUGGCAAGCUAGAGUGCGGUAGAGGGUAGUGGAAUUCCCGGUGUAGCAGUGAAAUGCGUAGAGAUCGGGAGGAACACCAGUGGCGAAGGCGGCUACCUGGACCAGCACUGACACUGAAGCACGAAAGCGUGGGGAGCAAACAGG